Molecule: ribosomal RNA, 460 nt
Filed under: uncultured bacterium
Lineage: Bacteria
Description: partial 16S ribosomal RNA
Rfam family: Bacterial small subunit ribosomal RNA
Source: RNAcentral
CCUACGGGAGGCAGCAGUGAGGAAUAUUGGUCAAUGGGCGCGAGCCUGAACCAGCCAAGUAGCGUGAAGGAUGACUGCCCUACGGGUUGUAAACUUCUUUUAUAAAGGAAUAAAGUGAGGCACGUGUGCCUUUUUGUAUGUCCUUUAUGAAUAAGGAUCGGCUAACUCCGUGCCAGCAGCCGCGGUAAUACGGAGGUUCGGAGCGUUAGCCGGAUUUUUUGGGUUUAAAGGGAGAGUAGAUGGGUUGUUAAGUCAGUUGUGAAAGUUUGUGGCUCAACCGUAAAAUUGCAAUUGAUACUGGCAGCCUUGAGUACAGUUGAGGUAGGCGGAAUUCGUGGUGUAGCGGUGAAAUGCUUAGAUAUCACGAAGAACUCCGAUUGCGAAGGCAGCCUACUAAACUGCCACUGACAUUGAUGCUCGAAAGUGUGGGUAUCAAACAGGAUUAGAUACCCUUGUAGUC